UACGAAGGGUGCAAGCGUUACUCGGAAUUACUGGGCGUAAAGCGUGCGUAGGUGGUUUGUUAAGUCUGUUGUGAAAGCCCCGGGCUCAACCUGGGAAUGGCAAUGGAUACUGGCAAGCUAGAGUGCGGUAGAGGGUAGUGGAAUUCCCGGUGUAGAGGUGAAAUUCGUAGAUAUUGGGAAGAACACCGGUGGCGAAGGCGGCUAUCUGGACCGACAUUGACGCUGAGGCGCGAAAGCGUGGGGAGCAAACAGG
This 253-nucleotide ribosomal RNA is filed under the name uncultured bacterium. Its description in RNAcentral is "partial 16S ribosomal RNA". It matches the Rfam family "Bacterial small subunit ribosomal RNA", at positions 524 to 776 of the family's 1533-position model. The record is from RNAcentral.